This 130-nucleotide non-coding RNA is filed under the name Trifolium pratense (red clover). The record is from RNAcentral. Lineage: Eukaryota; Viridiplantae; Streptophyta; Magnoliopsida; Fabales; Fabaceae.
CUAGCCUACUAGACUGUAAAUUGUGAAAUAUACAGUUUAAAUGAACUGUUCUAGACUAGAGGGCACUGCGUGAGGCUGGUUUCACAGAGCAGCGAACACCUCUGGCUCUUGACAGUGGAGGGAUAACAAG